UGUUUUCGGGUAAGGCUGCGUGUCACUUGGACGAAACGGCAGGUCUAGACAGCAUAAUCAACGGCCGAAACUGAUCUGAUAAAACCUGCUGUUAGCUUCGAAAUGAACCGAAACUAAUUAAAAAGGUACAAAUCGACAAUCAACAACAGGUAAAAAAUAACAAAAAUGAUGAAUCCGGAAACUAAACUUUCAUGAUGCUAAAUUGAAAUCGCGGCAGACGUUAGUAAUCAACGCGGAAGGCUAACUUGUUCCUCAUGGUGGUGAAUCUGAAAGACAAUUGCAUUAGAAGAUUAGCUUGUGAUUCCUACUGUGAAAAUAUGGCAAACCCCCCAAAAUACGAACAAUAGUGACUCACAUGACUAGCGGACGGCGGAUCUUGACGUCACGUUCGACGAAACUUGGAGUCGACGUCAUCAGUUUGGUAUCUCCGACGAUUUUGCGAAAGAAAAAAGAAGCAGGAGGAGGAGGUUUUUAGUCUGAAAGAGGGAGAAAA
Molecule: long non-coding RNA, 493 nt
Filed under: Linum usitatissimum (flax)
Lineage: Eukaryota; Viridiplantae; Streptophyta; Magnoliopsida; Malpighiales; Linaceae
Description: long non-coding RNA (LUSI_LNC002807)
Source: RNAcentral